GUCGAUGGUCCUUGGGCCGCAAUCGGCUCGGACGUGAUCGCACAAAUAGGCGACGACGUCUAGAAACCCGGCCACGGCGGCCAUGUCGACGGCGUCGGCGGUGCACCCUUCGGUGCGGUGCUCGUGGAGGAAGCGGACCACGUCGAGAUGGCCCUCGCCGGCGGCCGCGUCCAUGGCCCAUGUUGUGCAACCCUCGGUGCGGUUGUGGUGAAGGUACGAGACAAUGUCCAGGCGGCCCGCGUCGGCCGCGCCGUCCAUGGCCUUGGUCGUGCAGCCCUCGCGGCGGUGCGUGUCCAAAUAGACGACGACGUCAUAGUGGCCGCGCGACGCCGCGUCGUCCAUGGCAUCGGUCGUGCACCCUUCUGUGCGGUUCUGGUCUAGAUAGGCGACGACGUCGAGGUGGCCGCCGGCCGCCGCACAGUCCAUGGCGUCGGAUCGGCAGCGCGCCCCGUUGACGUCCAAUAGGCGCACGAUCUCCAGGUGCCCGUUGAGGGCUGCGUUGCACAUGGCAUCGGACGUGCAUCCCUCGCGACCAAACGACUCUUGCGCCGGCGAUCGUGCGACGACGCGCCCCAGCGUCGGAUCGUUGACGGGCAUGUGGUGGUGCGCCAAGAGGAAGGCGAUCACCGCGGCGUGGCCGUUGAGGGCCGCGUCGUCGAUGGCGUCGGUCGUCCCCGAUGCGUAUCCUUUGCAGAUGAACUCGACCACGGCGAGGUGGCCGUGAGCCGCCGCCAGAUCGACGGCGCCCCUGGACCACAGGACGCGCAUCGAGUCGCGGAGGCGCUUGAGUGCCUCUAGGUUCCCAGUGGCGGCGGCAGCAUCCACCGCCGCCGACGGUAUGUAGCCGUUGACGCACGCCGAGGCGGGCAGCGCCAGGACGACAUCGAAAGCGCAUUGCGCCACGGCCGUGGCCAUGUGUUGGCGUCC
This 927-nucleotide long non-coding RNA is filed under the name Pandoravirus dulcis. RNAcentral's name for it is "putative ncRNA". The record is from RNAcentral.